This 338-nucleotide ribosomal RNA is filed under the name Hamamelis sp. RP-2014. RNAcentral describes it as "eukaryotic LSU rRNA". The stretch from base 1 to 88 matches the Rfam family "5.8S ribosomal RNA", at positions 69 to 154 of the family's 154-position model. Lineage: Eukaryota; Viridiplantae; Streptophyta; Magnoliopsida; Saxifragales; Hamamelidaceae. The record is from RNAcentral.
GAAUUGCAGAAUCCCGUGAACCAUCGAGUCUUUGAACGCAAGUUGCGCCCAAAGCCAUUAGGCCGAGGGCACGUCUGCCUGGGCGUCACGUAUCGCGUCGCCACCCCAACCCGCACACGUAUACCGUGCUGCGGGGCAUCAUGUGGGGGCGGAUAUUGGCCUCCCGUGCGCUUCGCCGCGGUUGGCCUAAAAGCGAGCCCCGGGCGACAGAACGUCACGAUAAGUGGUGGUUGAUAAGCCCCGGCCCUUCAAGUGUCAUGUCGUGCGUUGCCCUGUCGCUCGUUGGAGCUACGAGACCCCGAUGCGUCGUCCCCGACGAUGCUUCCAUCGCGACCCCA